UAGGAAGUGUUCUAAGAAAAAAAAAAACACCUCACUCUUCAACUCCUCAUCUUUCUUUUAUUUAUUUUUUUGGAGGGGGGCGGUGGGUUCGAGACAGGGCGUUUCUCUGUGUAGCUUUGGAGCCUGUCCUGGCACUCGCUCUGGAGACCAGGCUGACCUUGAACUCACAGUGAUCCUCCUGCCUCUGGCCUCUGGAGUGCUGGGAUUAAAGGCGUGUGCCACCAACGCCCGCUCCCCCUUUUUAAACUUUAUUUAUUUAAAUAUUUUGUCUUUCUCUAAGACAGAUCUCGAGUAGCCCAGGCUGACCCCGAACUGGUUAAGUAACAAACAACAGAUGACUGACGGCGGCGUCGACGUUUUGAUCUUGCCUCCACCUCUCCAGCGCUGGUCUUGCAGGGGGUUGCAGGGAAGGGUGAAGGACAAAAUGAAUGACCAUGACCUCUGUCCAUCCAAGAUGCCCUCUUCCUGGUAUGUGAAGGCUGAGAGAAUAAUGGGGUGGGGUCGGCNNNNNNNNNNNNCAGAGAAACUUCCCAAGAGGAAAAGAGGAUGAGAGGAAAUUGAUUAUAGUCUCUGAGCCUCGGGUUGUUUGUUUGUUUGUUUUUUUUUUCCUUUUCAUUUCUGACCCCUGAGUUUGCUGCCUCCUUUUCUUUCCCUCUCUCUCUCUCUCUCUCUCUCUCUCUCUCUCUCUCUC
RNAcentral lists this long non-coding RNA (691 nucleotides) under Cricetulus griseus (Chinese hamster). RNAcentral describes it as "lncRNA (ENSCGRG00000025575.1)". Lineage: Eukaryota; Metazoa; Chordata; Mammalia; Rodentia; Cricetidae. The record is from RNAcentral.